Molecule: unclassified non-coding RNA, 349 nt
Filed under: soil metagenome
Description: partial contains 5.8S ribosomal RNA, internal transcribed spacer 2, and large subunit ribosomal RNA
Rfam family: 5.8S ribosomal RNA (bases 1-120)
Source: RNAcentral
GAUGAAGAACGUAGCAAAAUGCGAUAAGUAAUGUGAAUUGCAGAAUUCAGUGAAUCAUCGAAUCUUUGAACGCACAUUGCGCCCGCUGGUAUUCCGGCGGGCAUGCCUGUUCGAGCGUCAUUUCAACCCUCAAGCCCCCGGGUUUGGUGUUGGGGGACGGCCUGGCCUUCUGCGCCGCGCCGCCCCCGAAAUGAAUUGGCGGCCUCGUCGCGUGCCACCCCUGCGUAGUAGCACAACCUCGCAACGGGAGCCCGACGCGGCCACUGCCGUAAAACGCCCAACUUUUAAGAGUUGACCUCGAAUCAGGUAGGAAUACCCGCUGAACUUAAGCAUAUCAAUAAGCGGAGGA